RNAcentral lists this transfer RNA (66 nucleotides) under Svistella anhuiensis. RNAcentral's name for it is "tRNA-Asp". The record is from RNAcentral. Lineage: Eukaryota; Metazoa; Arthropoda; Insecta; Orthoptera; Trigonidiidae.
AAGAGAUUAGUUAAAAUAUAACAUUAAUAUGUCAUAUUAAAAUUAUUAUAAACGUAAUAUUUCUUU